Molecule: ribosomal RNA, 427 nt
Filed under: uncultured bacterium
Lineage: Bacteria
Description: partial 16S ribosomal RNA
Rfam family: Bacterial small subunit ribosomal RNA
Source: RNAcentral
UGGGGAAUAUUGGACAAUGGGCGAACGCCUGAUCCAGCCAUGCCGCGUGUGUGAAGAAGGUCUUCGGAUUGUAAAGUACUUUAAGUUGGGAGGAAGGGCAUUAACCUAAUACGUUAGUGUUUUGACGUUACCGCCAGAAUAAGCACCGGCUAACUCUGUGCCAGCAGCCGCGGUAAUACAGAGGGUGCAAGCGUUAAUCGGAAUUACUGGGCGUAAAGCGCGCGUAGGUGGUUUGUUAAGUUGGAUGUGAAAUCCCCGGGCUCAACCUGGGAACUGCAUUCAAAACUGACUGACUAGAGUAUGGUAGAGGGUGGUGGAAUUUCCUGUGUAGCGGUGAAAUGCGUAGAUAUAGGAAGGAACACCAGUGGCGAAGGCGACCACCUGGACUAAUACUGACACUGAGGUGCGAAAGCGUGGGGAGCAAACA